Molecule: ribosomal RNA, 253 nt
Filed under: uncultured bacterium
Lineage: Bacteria
Description: partial 16S ribosomal RNA
Rfam family: Bacterial small subunit ribosomal RNA
Source: RNAcentral
UACGAAGGGGGCUAGCGUUGCUCGGAAUUACUGGGCGUAAAGGGAGCGUAGGCGGAUAGUUUAGUCAGAGGUGAAAUCCUGGAGCUCAACUCCAGAACUGCCUUUGAUACUGGGAAGCUUGAGUCCGGAAGAGGUGAGUGGAACUCCGAGUGUAGAGGUGAAAUUCGUAGAUAUUCGGAAGAACACCAGUGGCGAAGGCGGCUCACUGGCCCGAUACUGACGCUGAGGCACGAAAGCGUGGGGAGCAAACAGG